CAAAACUACGGUCUCAGUUCAGAUUGCAGGCUGCAACUCGCCUGCAUGAAGUUGGAAUUGCUAGUAAUCGCGAAUCAGAAUGUCGCGGUGAAUACGUUCCCGGGCCUUGUACACACCGCCCGUCACACCAUGAGAGUCGAUAACACCCGAAGCCUGUGAGCUAACCGUAAGGAGGCAGCAGUCGAAGGUGGGGUUGAUGAUUGGGGUGAAGUCGUAACAAGGUAAC
This 226-nucleotide ribosomal RNA is filed under the name uncultured bacterium. RNAcentral describes it as "partial 16S ribosomal RNA". It matches the Rfam family "Bacterial small subunit ribosomal RNA", at positions 1275 to 1500 of the family's 1533-position model. The record is from RNAcentral.